UGGGGAAUUUUGGACAAUGGGGGCAACCCUGAUCCAGCCAUGCCGCGUGGGUGAAGAAGGCCUUCGGGUUGUAAAGCCCUUUCGGUGGGGACGAAACGGUGCGUGCUAACACCACGCACUACUGACGGUACCCACAGAAGAAGCACCGGCUAACUACGUGCCAGCAGCCGCGGUAAUACGGAGGGUGCGAGCGUUGUUCGGAAUUAUUGGGCGUAAAGCGCGCGCAGGCGGUCGAAAAAGUCCAUGGGUCAAAGGCCGGGGCUCAACCCCGAGUACGCCCAGGAUACUGUUCGACUGGAGACACGUAGAGGCAAGCGGAAUUUCGGGUGUAGCGGUGGAAUGCGUAGAUAUCCGAAAGAACACCGGAGGCGAAGGCGGCUUGCUGGGCGUGAUCUGACGCUGAGGCGCGAAAGCGUGGGGAGCGAA
This 426-nucleotide ribosomal RNA is filed under the name uncultured bacterium. RNAcentral's name for it is "bacterial SSU rRNA". It matches the Rfam family "Bacterial small subunit ribosomal RNA", at positions 355 to 772 of the family's 1533-position model. The record is from RNAcentral.